GCGUGCUUACCAUGCAAGUCGAACGGAAAGGCCCAGCUUGCUGGGUACUCGAGUGGCGAACGGGUGAGUAACACGUGGGUGAUCUGCCCUGCACUCUGGGAUAAGCCUGGGAAACUGGGUCUAAUACCGGAUAUGACCAACUGUCGCAUGGUGGUUGGUGGAAAGCUUUUGCGGUGUGGGAUGGGCCCGCGGCCUAUCAGCUUGUUGGUGGGGUAAUGGCCUACCAAGGCGACGACGGGUAGCCGACCUGAGAGGGUGAUCGGCCACACUGGGACUGAGACACGGCCCAGACUCCUACGGGAGGCAGCAGUGGGGAAUAUUGCACAAUGGGCGCAAGCCUGAUGCAGCGACGCCGCGUGAGGGAUGACGGCCUUCGGGUUGUAAACCUCUUUCACCAGGGACGAAGCGUGAGUGACGGUACCUGGAGAAGAAGCACCGGCCAACUACGUGCCAGCAGCCGCGGUAAUACGUAGGGUGCGAGCGUUGUCCGGAAUUACUGGGCGUAAAGAGCUCGUAGG
Molecule: ribosomal RNA, 518 nt
Filed under: Gordonia sp. FS55(2011)
Lineage: Bacteria; Bacillati; Actinomycetota; Actinomycetes; Mycobacteriales; Gordoniaceae
Description: bacterial SSU rRNA
Rfam family: Bacterial small subunit ribosomal RNA
Source: RNAcentral